CCAGCCUAGAAGUUUCUGAGUGCUCUGACACAUGGGUGUCUGAGGGAGACAGUGAUGGUCACAAGAAACAGAAGCCCCUCAAGCUCGACAAGGGUGGCUCCAGCCAAGGGCAAACUGGUGGGGCAGUGUCUCCCUGACUACUGGAGAGACAGGACACAGACACACAGCUGUCUCCACCAGCAUGGAGGAUAGCCUAACCAAGUCCCCAUCUCUCCAUUCUAAUUUCUCCCUGACUGUAAGGAACCUGCUAUGUCACCUUCCUGUGUAGGGAGACAGAAGAAGACUGAGCUUCAAAGGUUUGGCCAGCAGGUAUGGGGGGUUGCUGAGGAAUGGGAGCUCCGUGGUGAGAUGCCGCAGAGGCAGCACCUUCCAUCUGCAGCAGCUGACAGCAAUCCCCAGAGAGGUCAGAUUCAUGCGCCCUUGGGUGCCUGCCAGGCUCAAUGUGCCUUCCAGGAAGAGACUCUGGGAGCCAUUACCAGCUGUCAAAGGGACCCUUUGUGAGUAUGGACACCUCAGCUUCUGGGAGGGGACAGGAUGCAUUGUGUUUAGGUCACAGUUGGAUGUCCCCCUUAAGGAAAUGUCAGUUUCAGGAGUGGCAGGAGUGUUUACUGUUUGAGCUAGAUUUUUUUCUUUUAUUGAUACAUAAUGUUUUACAUAUUUAUGG
This is a long non-coding RNA of Pan paniscus (pygmy chimpanzee), 664 nucleotides long. NCBI's taxonomy places the organism in Eukaryota, Metazoa, Chordata, Mammalia, Primates, Hominidae. The record is from Ensembl.